This is a long non-coding RNA of Gavialis gangeticus (Gharial), 405 nucleotides long. RefSeq lists it as uncharacterized. The transcript has 2 exons. NCBI's taxonomy places the organism in Eukaryota, Metazoa, Chordata, Crocodylia, Gavialidae. The record is from RefSeq and is a predicted model, not a curated record.
CUUUUGCAUGUUGCAAGGAAGUUCAUUUAACCUGACGAUAAAUUAUAGUAUUGGUGAUCAAAGCAAGAACACACAGGUAGAGUGGCCACUGACACAUUCCCAGAAUACAGGACAUCCCCUUGGUAAGGUGUGGAACCACCGGCCCAUUCAACCAAUCAGCGAUGAGGGACAGGGCUGCCACCUCCUUGGCCAAAUCAGCAGCAAGCGGUGGGGCCACCAGGCCCCUUGGACAAGCAGCAGCAAGGGGCAGGGCUACCACAAAAAGGCAGAAAAUGGUACCUGCCUUGACUUAUUGCUCACUAUAUAAUAAAAUAUUCUCUUUCAUUUUGCACUUAUAGACAUUUAAUCCAGACAGUAGCAAUUUUGUUCAUGAGUACCAAAUUAAUAAAAAUAAUUAUUAUAACU